CCUACGGGUGGCAGCAGUGGGGAAUAUUGCACAAUGGGGGAAACCCUGAUCCAGCGACGCCGCGUGAGCGAUGACGUAUUUCGGUAUGUUAAGCCCUAUCAGCAGGGGAGAAAAUGACGGUACCUGACUAAGAGGCCCCGGCUAACUACGUACCAGGAGCCGCGGUAAUACGGAGGGGGCAAGCGUUAUCCGGAUUUACUGGGUGUAAAGGGAGCGUAUAGGGUCCUGCAAGCCCGUAGUGAAAGCCCGGGGCCCCACCCCGGGACUGCAGUUGGAACUGUAAGGCGAGAGUGUCGGAGAGGCAUGCGGAAUGCCUGGUGUAGCGGUGAAAUGCGUAGAUAUUAGGAGGAACACCAGUGGCGAAGGCGGCCUGCUGGACGAUGACUGACGUUGAGGCUCGAAAGCGUGGGGAGCAAACAGGAUUAGAUACCCGGGUAGUC
RNAcentral lists this ribosomal RNA (440 nucleotides) under uncultured bacterium. Its description in RNAcentral is "partial 16S ribosomal RNA". It matches the Rfam family "Bacterial small subunit ribosomal RNA", at positions 338 to 795 of the family's 1533-position model. The record is from RNAcentral.